AUUAAGAGUAUGAAACCAUAUGGGUUACACUUCUCAUUUUCCUUUUUAUCUAGCAAAUAUGCUAUACGUGUAGCAUGUAUACUGUCAAAACUACAGACGGAAAAACUGCAGGCACAUGGAAUAUCGACCUACUUUUAGAAAUGUAAUGACAAACAGUUAUUUGUUUUUUGCAGGAAUAUGUCACUGAUGAUCUUCAAAUCAAACUUAAAGCAUUCCUCUCUGGUCUGAUAAGCCAAUAUAUUGGGAUGUUCUUCAUCUUCUCUGUCAAAUGGAUUUUCACCUUUGGUCAUCAAUCUUCUGUGAUGAGCCUCAUCCCGUGGAAAAGGAAGCUAAAGACAUUUGUAUAUACCAGUUUCUGUCCCAGAUUUGGUGUUCCUUAUUGGAUAAAAGGUUGUAUGUUUCCAAGCAUCGUAUGCGUUCCUCAAACUCCUCCUUGCAAAAGGCUGAUGUCAGAUGCAUCUUUUCACAUGUGGAAAGCGGAUUCAGAGGAGGACACAGAUGAAGAUCUCUGGACUUUUGAGCAGUUACCAGGUUACUGAUCAUCAUGUCGAUAAAAGACUGUCACAUAAAUUUGGACCCAUUGAGGAUUUUGUCACUCUCAAAUAUCCUCAGAACUACACAAGCUGGAAAUAAGUAAUUGAAUCUUUAUCUAGUAUGGAGUAAGUAAUACAGCAGCUUUCUAGUUAAUGCCACUGUGGCAAAGGCUAUUAAUAAUGAAUGAGCUACCAUAACUGAUAAGAAUUGUC
Molecule: long non-coding RNA, 746 nt
Filed under: Struthio camelus australis
Lineage: Eukaryota; Metazoa; Chordata; Aves; Struthioniformes; Struthionidae
Description: lncRNA (ENSSCUG00000001074.1)
Source: RNAcentral